UCCGGUUUGUCACCGGCAGUCCCUCUAGAGUGCUCAGCAUUACCUGUUAGCAACUAAAAGUAAGGGUUGCGCUCGUUGCGGGACUUAACCCAACAUCUCACGACACGAGCUGACGACAACCAUGCACCACCUGUCUCCUUGUCCUAAGCAAGCCUAGGAGGGCUCUAUCUCUAGAGUUUUCAAGGGAUGUCAAGACCUGGUAAGGUUCUUCGCGUUGCGUCGAAUUAAACCACAUGCUCCACCGCUUGUGCGGGCCCCCGUCAAUUCCUUUGAGUUUCAACCUUGCGGCCGUACUCCCCAGGCGGGGUACUUAAUGUGUUAACUACGGCACAGAAGGGGUCGAUACCUCCUACACCUAGUACCCAUCGUUUACGGCGUGGACUAC
Molecule: unclassified non-coding RNA, 385 nt
Filed under: uncultured Eubacteriales bacterium
Lineage: Bacteria; Bacillati; Bacillota; Clostridia; Eubacteriales
Description: contains 16S-23S intergenic spacer region
Source: RNAcentral